AUGGCGGAAUGCUUGGCUUCGAUAUUUGGUACAGAGAAAGACAAGGUCAACUGUCCAUUUUACUUCAAGAUUGGAGCUUUUCUUCAUAGCGAUCACUGUUCUCGCAUCCAUAACAGGCCAACCAUGAACAUGUAUCAGCGCCCUGAUAUGAACCCUGGUCACAUGAUCCUUGGAAAUUAA
This 180-nucleotide ribosomal RNA is filed under the name Triticum aestivum (bread wheat). Its description in RNAcentral is "partial small subunit ribosomal RNA". The record is from RNAcentral. Lineage: Eukaryota; Viridiplantae; Streptophyta; Magnoliopsida; Poales; Poaceae.